AAUCCGUGAUGUGGGCAGCAUCUCAAAAGAUUCUUAAACCUCUCCCAUGCAUCGUACAUGCUCUCAUCAUCAAACUGCAGAAAAAAAGAUAUGUCAUUUCUAAGUUU
This is a non-coding RNA of Ricinus communis (castor bean), 107 nucleotides long. The record is from Rfam. NCBI's taxonomy places the organism in Eukaryota, Viridiplantae, Streptophyta, Magnoliopsida, Malpighiales, Euphorbiaceae.